Molecule: long non-coding RNA, 588 nt
Filed under: Mytilus galloprovincialis (Mediterranean mussel)
Lineage: Eukaryota; Metazoa; Mollusca; Bivalvia; Mytilida; Mytilidae
Source: RNAcentral
UUAUAUUCUAAUUCGCCAACUCAAACGAAUAUAAAUUAUUUAAUAAAUAAAACAACACAUAAAUAGGAUAAGUGUGCCUACAGCUGUAGCAGCCUUUAAUAUUACAUUACAUUCAAUUUCAUUCUCAAACUAAAGUCCUUCACUUUAAAUUCAGGCACACUACCAUCAGUCCAAUCAUACAAUAGCACAGUUAUAUACAGUAACAGUAACACAAUCAAAAACUAUCUACAAAAGAGGAAAAAUUCAUAUUAAUAUAAUGUACUAAUGCAUAUACUCCUAUUAACGAUAACCAUCUCAUAAAAGGGGUGGGUGGGUGGGUAAACAUAAUAACGAAUGCUGCUACGUCGUACUAUAGGCAAACUUCGAAUAACUUAAUUUUCUCAAGCUACCCCCUUAAGUAAUACUUAAUCAUGCUUUUCACGAAAAUCAUGAGGGCAUAUACCCGUAAAACCGGCAGUACGAAUAUAUGCCAUCCAAUCAAAUAGAACGUAAACACACACCAUGUGCUUGAUAUAAACACACACACGUGUUUAUAGUAAACAAUCACUUGACCGUUACAACGUCAUGUGACUUAAUACCUUUAAUAAA